This 2754-nucleotide long non-coding RNA is filed under the name Olea europaea subsp. europaea. Lineage: Eukaryota; Viridiplantae; Streptophyta; Magnoliopsida; Lamiales; Oleaceae. The record is from RNAcentral.
CCCUAGCGCCUCUUACGGUCCCCACAAAGUAUUAUAUACUUAGUGAGUAUUGAGCUUUGUGAUUUUUUGUGUUUCGCAUCAGCUCGGUAAUUAACUCUUUGUUAUUCUUGCAGAUAUUCUUCCUCGGUGCGAGCUCUCUGUCGAGGAGUUUGACAUAAUCUGUAUCGUUUAUCGGCUUCUGCUGAAGAGGAAGUCUUAUAACGAGCUUAUCAGGAAGAACAUUCACUUUGUUACGUACGAGUUGAUGGCCUCCCAAGGUAACUAUCUGGAGUGUACCUAUUGUAAUGUGUUUUCGAACUCAUUGUACUUGUGUUAAUCCCUUUUGUUUUGCUGUAGACGAUUUCAACAAGAAGAGACUGGUGAGGCCCGACUUCAAAACUAUCCAACAGAUGAUAGCCGAGGCAAGGGCCAUGAAGACCUCCUCCUUUGCUUAUAAAAAGCAAAUGGAAGACCUAGUGCUGCGAAUAAACCACUCCAGCCCGCAGCAGAGGAGGAGCCAGAGGCAGCUCUCCAAAGGAAGGGGAAAAAGGCUGCCAGCUUGUCGGAGCGGCCUACAGUGGCAAGAGCUGCCCCGGUCCUCCGCCAGACAACCAUCCCUACAGGUGUGGCCAUAAGGGAGAGGCCGACGGCUCCUGCUGCCCGGUCGGUCCCCCUAUCACUGUCAUUCCAAUCGCACAAGUGUCGGGACAGCAAAGGAGAAAAAGGGCUAGUCCGGAAAAGAAAGUGGACUUUCUGGGCACCAAUAAAGAGGAACCAGUGAGGGAGGUGUUGGAAGCCUUGCCUCCGAAGACGACGACUGUAGCCCUGGUCCACAGCAAGUAUUGAACCGAGAAAUGGAAAGACCAUACCUCCUCCUGCACCGCAGAGGACUUGGUUGCUGCUAACAAUGCUUGCAUCGCUCGGGCUCUGAGUACAAGUGUCCAAUUUCAGCGCUUGGUCAAGGACCUCAACGCCAAGAGGAAGGAUCUGGCCAAACACCUAGAGGAAGCACUGCACUACUAGGAUGCUGUGCGAACUGCCCAAGAUAAGGCCUUGGAGGAGAAAGGCUGGCUGGUGAGGGCCAAUGAGGAGGUGGAGAGGCUGAAGGAGUUCUACGAAGUGGAGUGCCAGGUGGCUACUAUGACGAGGAGGAUUGAUAAUGCCAAUGAGCACCACCGGCUCACAUUGAGGCUCUGGAUGCCUCGAACCAAGAGAAGGAGGAGCUGAGGCUAUGGGCAAAGGCCUAGGUUGAGGAGAUCGAAUCUCUGAAGGCUGAGGUAAAGGUGGCGAGGGAGUCAGCGGUGCAAAACUUCAUCGAUCAUUUCAAAGAGCACCCACUGUAUGACGACUUUGCCAACUUUUGGGCCUCGUGAAAUGCCCAGGCAAUGUUGGAUUGCCUAAGGGAGGUCCACCCAACUCUGGAUUUAACUUCAUUGGAAGCGGAGUUCGCUGGGCCUACUGGAGGUUGACUCGACAAGGUCGCCGAGAAAGCAACCGAAGCCGCCCCAGAGGCCGAGCCGGAGAUCGGAGCUGAGGAUGACUCGAGAGAAGAAUAGGAACACCUUGUAAUGGCUUCAGCCCACAUUUUGUACUUUGUUUUGAUAUUAAUGAGAUUAAAAUUUGUCCAAGUAUUGUUGCUUCUUCUUACUUUACUUUUAUAUUGAACUGUUUGUAUCUUAUGAGUAAAGUAAAUAUUAAGCUCCACUUACCAAUAAUAACCAGUCGAUGAUAGCAGAACUGACCCAUAUAAAGCACUAAAGAACUAAGGCACCAAUUGGUUAACCAACAUGACAAUGGAGAGCUGUGGUGUUAUAACUUUGAAACUUCCAUCAUCUUUUUACCAAGGCAGUUCAACACUUAGUAAAAUAGGAAUGUUAUAAUACCGGACAAAAUGUAGAUCGGAUCAAGACAUACACAUCAUUGAUAGUACUUCCUCAAGUGUUUAGUGUUCCACUGAUGAGGCAGUAUCUUCCCUGCAAUGUCUUCGAUUUCAUAAGUGCCAGGUCCAGACUUCUUGCAGAUGCGAUAAGGACCUUCCCAGUUCGGUCCAAAUACUCCAGACCCAGUUUGCUUUGAUGAUUGGAAGACCCUUCUGAUGACGAGGUCCCCCACACGAAGAGUUCGAUUUCUGACCUUCGAGUUGUAAUAACGGGUCAUCUUUCUUUAAUACUUAGCCAAUUUUAUUUGAGAGGAAUCACUCCUUUCUUCAAGGAGGUGAAGUUCGUGUACUCGAGUUUCGUCAUUGCUGAUUUCAAUGAAAUGUGUCUGACAAUGAGAGGGGACACCCACAUCGACAGGACUCAUGACUUCGGAUCCGUAGGUCAUGGAGAAGUGUGUUUCACCUAUUGCGGUUCGACUGGUUGUUUGAAUGGCCCAGAGGACAUGGGGAAGUUCAUCGACCCACGUCCCUUUCGAGACAUCAAGCUUCCUUUUCAGGGUAUGCUUGAUAGUUUUGUUCACUGCCUCAACUUGCACAUUUGCUUGAGGGUGAUGAGGUGUUGAGAAGUCCUUCCUUAUGCUGAGUUUUCACACAAGUCUCGCAUCUUUUUGUUGUCGAACUGUCUUCCGUUAUUAGACACUAAAGAACGGGGAAUGUCGAGCCUGCAAAUGAUAUUUUUCCAGACUAAUUUUGUGGUGUUCGCUUCAGUGAUUUUUGCCAAAGGUUCGGCUUCAACCCACUUGAUGCAGGGGCGGACCCAGCUUUUUUGGGUUGUGGGGUCAAAAAUUAAUGUGUAAUUUUUUUAAACAAUAUAAUAUUAAUGAAAAUAAGUUAAU